RNAcentral lists this ribosomal RNA (382 nucleotides) under Pseudomonas sp. UA-JF2005. RNAcentral's name for it is "bacterial SSU rRNA". It matches the Rfam family "Bacterial small subunit ribosomal RNA", at positions 54 to 438 of the family's 1533-position model. The record is from RNAcentral. Lineage: Bacteria; Pseudomonadati; Pseudomonadota; Gammaproteobacteria; Pseudomonadales; Pseudomonadaceae.
CAUGCAAGUCGAGCGGUAGAGAGAAGCUUGCUUCUCUUGAGAGCGGCGGACGGGUGAGUAAUGCCUAGGAAUCUGCCUGGUAGUGGGGGAUAACGUUCGGAAACGGACGCUAAUACCGCAUACGUCCUACGGGAGAAAGCAGGGGACCUUCGGGCCUUGCGCUAUCAGAUGAGCCUAGGUCGGAUUAGCUAGUUGGUGAGGUAAUGGCUCACCAAGGCGACGAUCCGUAACUGGUCUGAGAGGAUGAUCAGUCACACUGGAACUGAGACACGGUCCAGACUCCUACGGGAGGCAGCAGUGGGGAAUAUUGGACAAUGGGCGAAAGCCUGAUCCAGCCAUGCCGCGUGUGUGAAGAAGGUCUUCGGAUUGUAAAGUACUUUAA